This 82-nucleotide transfer RNA is filed under the name Dipodomys ordii (Ord's kangaroo rat). It matches the Rfam family "tRNA". Rfam says of the family: Transfer RNA (tRNA) molecules are approximately 80 nucleotides in length. The record is from Rfam by way of RNAcentral. Lineage: Eukaryota; Metazoa; Chordata; Mammalia; Rodentia; Heteromyidae.
GGUGGCUCAGUGGUAGAGCGCUUGCCUUGAAUGCAUGAGGCCCUGGGUUUGAUGAGGCCCUGGGUUCGAUUCCUCAGCACCA